GCGUGGGUUGCGUUCUGCUCGCAGCAGACUGAAAAUCCGUGUGUCGCUGGUUCAACUCCAGUCCUGCCCA
RNAcentral lists this transfer RNA (70 nucleotides) under Planctomycetaceae bacterium. RNAcentral describes it as "tRNA-Phe". It matches the Rfam family "tRNA". Rfam says of the family: Transfer RNA (tRNA) molecules are approximately 80 nucleotides in length. Their secondary structure includes four short double-helical elements and three loops (D, anti-codon, and T loops). Further hydrogen bonds mediate the characteristic L-shaped molecular structure. tRNAs have two regions of fundamental functional importance: the anti-codon, which is responsible for specific mRNA codon recognition, and the 3' end, to which the tRNAs corresponding amino acid is attached (by aminoacyl-tRNA synthetases). tRNAs cope with the degeneracy of the genetic code in two manners: having more than one tRNA (with a specific anti-codon) for a particular amino acid; and 'wobble' base-pairing, i.e. permitting non-standard base-pairing at the 3rd anti-codon position. Lineage: Bacteria; Pseudomonadati; Planctomycetota; Planctomycetia; Planctomycetales; Planctomycetaceae. The record is from RNAcentral.